RNAcentral lists this ribosomal RNA (492 nucleotides) under uncultured bacterium. RNAcentral's name for it is "partial 16S ribosomal RNA". It matches the Rfam family "Bacterial small subunit ribosomal RNA", at positions 28 to 507 of the family's 1533-position model. The record is from RNAcentral.
GACGAACGCUGGCGGCGUGCUUAACACAUGCAAGUCGAACGGAAAGGCCCCCACUUUUUUGGUGGGGGUGCUCGAGUGGCGAACGGGUGAGUAACACGUGGGUGAUCUGCCCUGUACUUCGGGAUAAGCUUGGGAAACUGGGUCUAAUACCGGAUAGGACCAUGGUUUAGUGUCUCAUGGUGGAAAAAUUAUUGUUUUGGUGCAGGAUGAGCUCGCGGCCUAUCAGCUUGUUGGUGGGGUAAUGGCCUACCAAGGCGUCGACGGGUAGCCGGCCUGAGAGGGUGGACGGCCACAUUGGGACUGAGAUACGGCCCAGACUCCUACGGGAGGCAGCAGUGGGGAAUAUUGCACAAUGGGCGCAAGCCUGAUGCAGCGACGCCGCGUGGGUGAUGACGGCCUUCGGGUUGUAAACUCCUUUCGUUAGGGACGAAGCCGCACCUUUUUUGGGUGUGGUGACGGUACCUUUGUUAAGAAGCACCGGCUAACUACGUG